GCGCAGACAGCUAGAGCUGGAGAAUAACCUCAGUCAGGUUCAGGACGUAACCAUGGAGAUCCAGGAUCUCCUGCAGUGGCUGGAGCACACAGACCUGAGGCUGUCGUCCAGUAAGACGGUGUGGGGAAUGCCAGACUCUGCCAAUGAAAGACUGAAUGCUCAUUUGGAGUUGUGUAAUGAGAUGGAUUCCAAAAU
Molecule: long non-coding RNA, 195 nt
Organism: Puntigrus tetrazona (Sumatra barb)
Lineage: Eukaryota; Metazoa; Chordata; Actinopteri; Cypriniformes; Cyprinidae
Exons: 3
Source: RefSeq, a predicted model, not a curated record